CCCUGCUAGAAGUCAUUCUCUCUCUCUCUUGAGGUAAACACCAGCUUAUGCCAUGUAAAAGCCCAAAGUAAAAUGGCUUUUGGUGUGCAAGUGCAGAAUCAUUGCUAUAAGGCUUUCUACUUGGUCUCAGAAUUGUUUUAUUCUAACUUCUAAGCUCCUUCUUCGUAAUCAUUAGGCCAGGAUAGUUAACAAACAAAAUGGCAGCCAUGUGAUCUAACUACCUCAUGUAGUCAUCCUUUCAGUCAGACUGAUGGAAUGACCACGUGAGAUGGAUCCCCUGGUGCUGCUCUCUGCACGUGUUUUGGGGUGAGAUUGACAUAUUUUGGUUUACUUUCACAUAGUGUUAGAGGACUGUCUCUGUUCUGGUCUUCGAUUGGUCAAACCAGCUUGAUCAUAUCCUAAUGAUCACUGCAUUGCCGUAGAUUUUCACUUAAGGCCUUGCAAAAGGGAGACAGAGAGCCAUACAAAAAUAUUGAUUUGUUUUGGUUUACGAACCACAAAACGGCCUACAAGAAUCUACAAAUAUGUUAAUUCACUACCUCAUACUGGUUGAGAGUCUAUUUUCUGUAUAAAAUACAUGCAAAUAGUAUCUUUAAAGAUUGAGGGCAGA
Molecule: long non-coding RNA, 610 nt
Filed under: Salmo salar (Atlantic salmon)
Lineage: Eukaryota; Metazoa; Chordata; Actinopteri; Salmoniformes; Salmonidae
Description: lncRNA (ENSSSAG00000098722.1)
Source: RNAcentral